GUGAAUCAUCGAAUCUUUGAACGCAAAUUGCACUCUCUUGGAUUCCUGAGAGUAUGCCUGUUUGAGGGUCAAUUUAAAUAAAAAUCGGUGUGUUUGCUGCCUUUCGUGGUGACGCACCGGAUUUUGGUCGUCUUUCCUUCUUUUAAGUGACCUAAAAUUUUUCAUGGUUUUUUCGAACGUAUUUAAAUGUUUUUACGUACGUUUUCGCUAUCUAAUACUUGAUGUGUUCAUCCUCAUUAUUCGCGCCUAUAAUUUUUCAUCAAAAUGACUUCAAAUCAAGU
RNAcentral lists this unclassified non-coding RNA (281 nucleotides) under Glomus sp. RNAcentral describes it as "partial contains 5.8S ribosomal RNA and internal transcribed spacer 2". The stretch from base 1 to 71 matches the Rfam family "5.8S ribosomal RNA", at positions 84 to 154 of the family's 154-position model. Lineage: Eukaryota; Fungi; Glomeromycota; Glomeromycetes; Glomerales; Glomeraceae. The record is from RNAcentral.